RNAcentral lists this ribosomal RNA (502 nucleotides) under uncultured Desulfobulbus sp. RNAcentral's name for it is "bacterial SSU rRNA". It matches the Rfam family "Bacterial small subunit ribosomal RNA", at positions 903 to 1382 of the family's 1533-position model. The record is from RNAcentral. Lineage: Bacteria; Pseudomonadati; Thermodesulfobacteriota; Desulfobulbia; Desulfobulbales; Desulfobulbaceae.
GCCCGCUCAGAAACUACAAAUGAAGUUGACGGGGCCCGCACAAGCGGUGGAGUAUGUGGUUUAAUUCGAUGCAACGCGAAGAACCUUACCUGGUCCUGACAUCCCGGAGACCCUUAGGAAACUAGGGGGUGCUUCCAUCUGGAAGAAUCUGGAGACAGGUGCUGCAUGGCUGUCGUCAGCUCGUGUCGUGAGAUGUUGGGUUAAGUCCCGCAACGAGCGCAACCCUUGCCUUUAGUUGCCAGCAGUUCGGCUGGGCACUCUAAAGGGACUGCCGGUGUUAAACCGGAGGAAGGUGGGGAUGACGUCAAGUCCUCAUGGCCUUUAUGACCAGGGCUACACACGUACUACAAUGGCCGAUACAAAGGGCAGCGACACUGCGAGGUGAAGCCAAUCCCGUAAAAUCGGUCUCAGUCCGGAUUGGAGUCUGCAACUCGACUCCAUGAAGUUGGAAUCGCUAGUAAUCGUGGAUCAGCAUGCCACGGUGAAUACGUUCCCGGGCCUU